GGGAGGGGGAGGAGAGGGCGCCCAGCCUACGUGCCCAGAACUGCGGCGAAGGGAGCCCAGGAGACUGCCAGCCCCUUCUGCAGAAGCCCCGCCCCUCUGCCCGCACUCCUUCCCUUCCCCCUCCCAGGCUCUGAAGCUGGGACCUGGGCCUGGAGGUGGGAGGAGGACCAGGAAGGCCUCCCUCUCUUUGCCUUAUUGCCCAUCUGCUCGUGAUUUUUAUUUGUUUGGUGCCAGGGGUUGAGCCCAGGGGGUUUAACUAUGGAUCCACAUCCCCAGCCCUUAUUACUUUUUUAUUAUGGAACAGGGUCUGGUCUCACUAAGUUACUUUGGGCCUCUCUAGGUUGCUGAGGCUGGCCUUAAACUUGCUAUCCUCCUGCCUCAGCCUCCCCAGUAGCUGGGAUUACAGGUGUGUGCCACCACACCCUGCCGCCCACUGGUUCUGAGUCCUCAGUGUUCCAAGGCCAGCCUGCAGCUCCGGAGUCCUGGCCUCAGGGACCUCACCCCGCAGGGCUAGCCCAGCCUACAGCUCUGGGUUGGAGGCCCAUGGACCCCCACUACUGUCGCCAGCCAGGGAGGAAAACACCCAGAAAUACAAGAUAGAAAUAGCAUGUACGCCUUGAGCAUUCCAGCCAGGGCCGCCUACACACUGGGUGGCCUCCUUCUCCCGCAAGACCCCAGCCUGGAGCUUGGGGGGGGGGGCAGUCUCAGUCUUGGAGGGGGAGGAAAAGGCCACACUGCAGAGCAGUGGGUGGGGCCUUGGCCAGGACCUCCCUCCCUCCCACUGUGCCAUGGGAAGCAGAGCCCGGCCAGGGCAGACGCAGCCAAGCUCACAAGAGCCACUGUGAGCUGCCAGCCCAAAGGUGGGCGCGGAGCUCUUGGCCACACCAGGUCCAAGCUGAGCGUCCAGCCCAGCGGGUGAAGCGAACCUGUGAACCUCAGGAGGGAGGGGAGCUGGCUCAGGAGGGAGGGGAGCUGGCUCAGGAGGGAGGGGAGCUGGCGCGGCUGAGUUCUGGGCGCUCCAGCUGGGCCAGGCGCCUGCCCUCCUCGCUUGACCUCUGCAAUCCCGGAAUAGGUCUGAGAAACUAUUUUACAGGUGAAGAAAGGAAGGCUCAGAGACUCCAAGUGACUUGCUUUAAGUCACAAAGCCAAGGAAGCCGGACCCAAAGGCAGGAGGUCCACCUUCUUGACCAUUGUUUUUAAGAAAAAGUAGUUUCUGGGCCAGCGUGGGGUGGGCAGGAGGGGGGAAUUGAAGGUGUGGGAUGCAGAUCCCAGGCACGUCGGGGAGCCCCCCCAUGGCCCCGCCCCUCGCCCCUCCCUCCUGGGCGGUCUCGGCCUCCAUUCCUGCUGCUCUGCUCCACCUCUCUGCUGCCCAGGAUCCCUGAAGGCCUUGCCCUGGGCCUGGACGACCUCCUCCCAGCAGCCGCCCUCGCCCGCCCAGCCACCUCCGAUCCUGGCCCUUUGUCUCCCAGCAUUUCUGCUCGGCUUUCCCUCAGCUUUCCCCCUCUGAGUGCAGGGACAAUAUGUUCCCACCGGGUCACCGCUGAGCCACCAGGGCCUGCUGCUGGCUGAUGAUUGGCUCACAGCGGCCCCAGCAGCCUGCAGUGCCCCACACAGCAGCUGCCUGGUGACUUGGGGCCGAGAUGGCAGAGAGCAGAGCUGCUGUGUCUGACCCGGGGGACCCCGCCUGUAGCCUGGGCCCUGCAGGCGGUGCUGAGAGUCAGGGCCUCCCACCUGUGGGCACACGCCCUCCCGCUGAGCCAGGCCACAGUCUGCUCCCUUUAUGGAUGACCAUGGAUGUGAGAGGAACGCAGGGGCGUAGCCCAGAUGAGGAGCCAGGCAGUGGGGACUUGCUAGGUGCGGAGCCCCUGGGUCGACACAGGGUCCCUUCUGUCCCUCCAGCCGCCCAGAGAGGCUGUGAUCCUGAGUCUGGGCCACUCUAGAACCUCCUGCCGCUGGCUGCCACUCCCCAACUCCAGGCUGGAUGCAGGGCCCACGGGACAGGAGGCAGAGGGCUUUGCCAUCCUGGUGUCUGCUUCCCCGUUUCACAGCUGGGGACCCUCAGAGUCCCAGGAGCCAGGCCAGGGGCCAGAGCUCAAGUUUUCCUGGUCUCCAGAAAGGGCCAAGGUCCUCAGAUUUCUUCUGCCAGCUUUAGGUUGGGAUGGUUUAAAGGCCCAAAUGACAACUCCUAUGCACUCUGCAGAACCCCAGCUUAACGCCCCCCCCCACCCGACCCCUGGGAAGUCUGCCCCA
This is a long non-coding RNA of Marmota monax (woodchuck), 2250 nucleotides long. RefSeq lists it as uncharacterized. The record is from RefSeq and is a predicted model, not a curated record. Lineage: Eukaryota; Metazoa; Chordata; Mammalia; Rodentia; Sciuridae. The transcript has 3 exons.